UGGGGAAUUUUGCGCAAUGGGCGAAAGCCUGACGCAGCAAUCCCGCGUGAAGGAUGACGCAUUACGGUGUGUAAACUUCUUUUUUGGUGGAAGACGAAUGACGGUACACCAAGAAUAAGGGACGGCUAACUACGUGCCAGCAGCCGCGGUAAUACGUAGGUCCCAAGUGUUAUCCGGAAUUACUGGGCGUAAAGCGUCUGUAGCUGGAUAAAUAAGUCUAUUUUUAAAUCCUGUGGCUUAACCAUAGAAAGGGAAUAGAUACUGUUUAUCUGGAGAUUAUUGGGGGUUAGUGGAAUUUCCGGUGGAGCGGUGAAAUGCGUUGAUAUCGGAAAGAACGCCGAAAGCGAAAGCAGCUAACUACGGUAAAUCUGACAGUGAAAGACGAAAGUUUGGGUAGCAAACGGG
Molecule: ribosomal RNA, 405 nt
Filed under: uncultured bacterium
Lineage: Bacteria
Description: partial 16S ribosomal RNA
Rfam family: Bacterial small subunit ribosomal RNA
Source: RNAcentral